This 690-nucleotide ribosomal RNA is filed under the name Clostridioides difficile. RNAcentral's name for it is "partial 23S ribosomal RNA". It matches the Rfam family "Bacterial large subunit ribosomal RNA", at positions 2234 to 2925 of the family's 2925-position model. Lineage: Bacteria; Bacillati; Bacillota; Clostridia; Peptostreptococcales; Peptostreptococcaceae. The record is from RNAcentral.
CAUGAAUCUGGUCUUGGGACACUGUCAGGUGGGCAGUUUGACUGGGGCGGUCGCCUCCCAAAAGGUAACGGAGGCGCUCAAAGGUUCUCUCAGUACGGUCGGAAAUCGUACGUAGAGGGUAAAGGCAAAAGAGAGCUUGAUUGCAAGACAUACAGGUCGAGCAAGGAUGAAAAUCGGACUUAGUGAUCCGGGGGUUCUGCGUGGAAGGGCCAUCGCUCAACGGAUAAAAGCUACCCUGGGGAUAACAGGCUUAUCUCCCCCAAGAGUCCACAUCGACGGGGAGGUUUGGCACCUCGAUGUCGGCUCAUCACAUCCUGGGGCUGUAGUAGGUCCCAAGGGUUGGGCUGUUCGCCCAUUAAAGUGGUACGCGAGCUGGGUUCAGAACGUCGUGAGACAGUUCGGUCCCUAUCCGUCGCAGGCGUAGGAAAUUUGAGAAGACCUGUCCUUAGUACGAGAGGACCGGGAUGGACGUACCUCUGGUGUACCAGUUGUCCUGCCAAGGGCAUGGCUGGGUAGCUAUGUACGGAAUGGAUAAGCGCUGAAAGCAUCUAAGCGCGAAGCCAACUUCAAGAUAAGAUUUCCCACCGCAAGGGUAAGACCCCAGAAAGACUAUCUGGUUGAUAGGUCGAAGGUGUAAGUGCAGCAAUGUACUUAGCUUAUCGAUACUAAUAGGUCGAGGACUUGACCAAU